CUUACGGGUGGCAGCAGUGGGGAAUAUUGGACAAUGGGGGGAACCCUGAUCCAGCCAUGCCGCGUGUGUGAAGAAGGCCCUCGGGUUGUAAAGCACUUUCAGUGAGGAAGAACGCCUGGUGGUUAAUACCCAUCAGGAAAGACAUCACUCACAGAAGAAGCACCGGCUAACUCCGUGCCAGCAGCCGCGGUAAUACGGAGGGUGCGAGCGUUAAUCGGAAUUACUGGGCGUAAAGCGCGCGUAGGUGGCUUGAUAAGCCGGUUGUGAAAGCCCCGGGCUCAACCUGGGAACGGCAUCCGGAACUGUCAAGCUAGAGUGCAGGAGAGGAAGGUAGAAUUCCCGGUGUAGCGGUGAAAUGCGUAGAGAUCGGGAGGAAUACCAGUGGCGAAGGCGGCCUUCUGGACUGACACUGACACUGAGGUGCGAAAGCGUGGGUAGCAAACAGGAUUAGAUACCCGGGUAGUC
Molecule: ribosomal RNA, 465 nt
Filed under: Vreelandella stevensii
Lineage: Bacteria; Pseudomonadati; Pseudomonadota; Gammaproteobacteria; Oceanospirillales; Halomonadaceae
Description: partial 16S ribosomal RNA
Rfam family: Bacterial small subunit ribosomal RNA
Source: RNAcentral